AGGUUAAGUUAAUAAGGCGCACGGUGGAUGCCCUUGGCACUAGAAGCCGAUGAAGGACGUGGACUAACGACGAAAUGCUUUGGGGAGUUGUAAGUAAACAUUGAUCCAGAAUGUCCGAAUGGGGGGAACCCGGCAUGUAAUGCAUGUCACUCAUUACUGUUAAGUAAUGAAAGGAAGGACCGCAUGAACUGAAACAUCUAAGUUAGCUGCAGGGAAGAAAGCAAACGCGAUUGCCUUGUAGCCGGGGAGCGAAA
RNAcentral lists this ribosomal RNA (254 nucleotides) under Streptococcus equinus. RNAcentral's name for it is "partial 23S ribosomal RNA". It matches the Rfam family "Bacterial large subunit ribosomal RNA", at positions 1 to 258 of the family's 2925-position model. Lineage: Bacteria; Bacillati; Bacillota; Bacilli; Lactobacillales; Streptococcaceae. The record is from RNAcentral.